Molecule: transfer RNA, 91 nt
Filed under: Mansoa verrucifera
Lineage: Eukaryota; Viridiplantae; Streptophyta; Magnoliopsida; Lamiales; Bignoniaceae
Description: partial tRNA-Leu
Source: RNAcentral
GACUUAAAUCCGUCGACUUUAAAUCGUGAGGGUUCAAGUCCUCUAUCCCCAAAAAAGCUAUUUGACUCCCAAAAAACUAUUAACUAUCCGC